Molecule: ribosomal RNA, 255 nt
Filed under: uncultured bacterium
Lineage: Bacteria
Description: partial 16S ribosomal RNA
Rfam family: Bacterial small subunit ribosomal RNA
Source: RNAcentral
UACGUAGGCAGCGAGCGUUGUUCGGAGUUACUGGGCGUAAAGGGUGUGUAGGCGGUCGUUUUAAGUUUGGUGUGAAAUCCUCCCGGCUCAACUGGGAGGGUGCGCCGAAUACUGAAUGACUAGAGUGUGGGAGAGGUGAGUGGAAUUCCCGGUGUAGCGGUGAAAUGCGUAGAUAUCUGGAGGAACACCGGUGGCGAAGGCGGCAUCCUGGACCGGUAUUGACGCUGAUGAGCGAAAGCCAGGGGAGCAAACGGG